AUACGUAGGGUGCGAGCGCUGUCCGGAAUUACUGGGCGUAAAGAGCUCGUAGGUGGUUUGUCGCGUCGUCUGUGAAAUUCCGGGGCUUAACUCCGGGCGUGCAGGCGAUACGGGCAUAACUUGAGUACUGUAGGGGAGACUGGAAUUCCUGGUGUAGCGGUGAAAUGCGCAGAUAUCAGGAGGAACACCGGUGGCGAAGGCGGGUCUCUGGGCAGUAACUGACGCUGAGGAGCGAAAGCAUGGGUAGCGAACAGGAUUAGAUACCCUGGUAGUCCAUGCCGUAAACGGUGGGCGCUAGGUGUAGGGGUCUUCCACGACUUCUGUGCCGUAGCUAACGCAUUAAGCGCCCCGCCUGGGGAGUACGGCCGCAAGGCUAAAACUCAAAGGAAUUGACGGGG
Molecule: ribosomal RNA, 398 nt
Filed under: uncultured bacterium
Lineage: Bacteria
Description: partial 16S ribosomal RNA
Rfam family: Bacterial small subunit ribosomal RNA
Source: RNAcentral